Molecule: ribosomal RNA, 274 nt
Filed under: uncultured bacterium
Lineage: Bacteria
Description: partial 16S ribosomal RNA
Rfam family: Bacterial small subunit ribosomal RNA
Source: RNAcentral
AUACGGAGGCUGCAAGCGUUACUCGGAAUCACUGGGCGUAAAGCGCGCGCAGGCGGCUUGAUAAGUUGGAUGUGAGAGCCUACGGCUCAACCGUAGAACUGCAUCCAAAACUGUCAGGCUAGAGUGUGGGAGAGGAAGAUGGAAUUAGUUGUGUAGGGGUAAAAUCCGUAGAGAUAACUAGGAAUACCAAAAGCGAAGGCAAUCUUCUGGAACACUACUGACGCUGAGGCGCGAAGGCGUGGGGAGCAAACAGGAUUAGAAACCCCAGUAGUCC